RNAcentral lists this transfer RNA (67 nucleotides) under Acraea vestalis. RNAcentral's name for it is "tRNA-Ala". Lineage: Eukaryota; Metazoa; Arthropoda; Insecta; Lepidoptera; Nymphalidae. The record is from RNAcentral.
AAGAUUAUAGUUUAAAAAAAACAUUUGAUUUGCAUUCAAAAACUAUUAAAUUAAUUAAUUUAUCUUA